AUAAAGUUGACGUUUUUUAUUUAUUUAUUUAUUUUUGAGACAGGGUCUUCCUCUGUCACCCAGACUGGAGUGCACCAGUGCGACCCUAGCUCACUGUAACCUCGAAUCUUUGGGCUCAAGCGAUCCUGCUGCAGCAUCCAGAGUAGCUAGGUCUACAGGCACAUGCUACCAAGUUCAGUUAAAUGUUUUUCUUUUUGGUAGAGA
RNAcentral lists this long non-coding RNA (204 nucleotides) under Homo sapiens (human). Its description in RNAcentral is "non-protein coding lnc-MAB21L2-4:1". Lineage: Eukaryota; Metazoa; Chordata; Mammalia; Primates; Hominidae. The record is from RNAcentral.